GUGGCAGCAUGAGCAGCACAUAGACUAAAAUUGGAAUGAUACAGGGAAAAUUAGCAUGACCCCUGUGCAAGGAUGACAUGCUAACAAUAACAGAUAAAACAUAAACAU
Small nuclear RNA from Python bivittatus (Burmese python), 108 nucleotides. The record is from RefSeq and is a predicted model, not a curated record. Lineage: Eukaryota; Metazoa; Chordata; Lepidosauria; Squamata; Pythonidae.